This 1019-nucleotide ribosomal RNA is filed under the name uncultured bacterium. RNAcentral's name for it is "bacterial SSU rRNA". It matches the Rfam family "Bacterial small subunit ribosomal RNA", at positions 332 to 1371 of the family's 1533-position model. The record is from RNAcentral.
CAGACUCCUACGGGAGGCAGCAGUGGGGAAUCUCGCGCAAUGGGGGGAACCCUAAAGCAGCGACGCCGCGUGCGGGACAAAGGCCUUCGGGUCGUAAGCCGCUUUCAGCAGGGAAGAGUCAAGACUGUACCUGCAGAAGAAGCCCCGGCUAACUACGUGCCAGCAGCCGCGGUAAUACGUAGGGGGCGAGCGUUAUCCGGAUUCAUUGGGCGUAAAGCGCGCGUAGGCGGCCCCGCAGGCCAGGGGUCGAAGCGGGGGGCUCAACCCCCCGAAGCCCCCGGAACCUCCGCGGCUUGGGUCCGGUAGGGGAGGGUGGAACACCCGGUGUAGCGGUGGAAUGCGCAAAUAUCGGGUGGAACACCGGUGGCGAAGGCGGCCCUCUGGGCCGAGACCGACGCUGAGGCGCGAAAGCUGGGGGAGCGAACAGAAUUAGAUACCCUGGUAGUCCCAGCCGUAAACGAUGGACGCUAGGUGUGGGGGGACGAUCCCCCCCGUGCCGCAGCCAACGCAUUAAGCGUCCCGCCUGGGGAGUACGGCCGCAAGGCGAAAACUCAAAAGGAAUUGAUGGGGGCCCGCACAAGCAGCGGAGCAUGUGGCUUAAUUCGAAGCAACGCGAAGAACCUUACCAGGGCUUGACAUAUGGGUGAAGCGGGGGAGACCCCGUGGCCGAGAGGAGCCCAUACAGGUGGUGCAUGGCUGUCGUCAGCUCGUGUCGUGAGAUGUUGGGUUAAGUCCCGCAACGAGCGCAACCCCCGCCGCGUGUUGCCAUCGGGUGAUGCCGGGAACCCACGCGGGACCGCCGCCGUCAAGGCGGAGGAGGGCGGGGACGACGUCAAGUCAUCAUGCCCCUUAUGCCCUGGGCUGCACACGUGCUACAAUGGCCGGUACAGAGGGAUGCCACCCCGCGAGGGGGAGCGGAUCCCGGAAAGCCGGCCCCAGUUCGGAUUGGGGGCUGCAACCCGCCCCCAUGAAGUCGGAGUUGCUAGUAAUCGCGGAUCAGCAUGCCGCGGUGAAUGCGU